GCAGUGGUAUAAGUGGCAGGUAAUUAAAAAAUAAAGAUAGUCGCUCAUGUGUCGUUCACGUGACACCGUUAUUGGAUAACACCACAUAUUGCAUAGUUGGUUAAACGAAAGAAGCAGCAGGUUCCUGGAGAUUGAAUGUCAACCAAAUCUCAUUGACUCUGUUCCUGAACUCAAACGGCGAAUUGUACUGCGCCACGAUGUAGUGAGUGGCGUUCUCCCCUCCAUGGCUCCUAUCAAUGGCGUCCGACCAAACAGUCCCGGCGACGGCGGCGUACAACGCAGCAGCUUCCUCUCCGACUUGGUCGUCCUUGACGAACCCACUGAACUGCCUGACGGCUACGUAGGUGAGCCCCCAUUUCUGGACCCAAAGGGUUUCACUGGAAGGCGCAGUGGCUUGGUUCUGUUUCGGAAUGAAGAAGCUCACCACGAAGGAUGAAGCACAGAAAGGUCCAUCGCUAGGUCUCACUUCGAUUAUCACCGGCGCCGUCAUUUCUAUCUUUUCAUGGUUGCUGUUCUUGCCUUGGAUGUAAUCAAAUAGCCUAUAUAUUUAUAUCAAGUACAUAAUAUGUAAAACUUGAAUCAAAGGCCUAAGCAUCAAUUACCCAAACUAAACUAACACUCAUUGAUUAAUUUGAUCAAAUAAACUCCAACCAGUUUCUAUAAAAAGCAUUGGAGAGUACAAUAUUAGCUGUUGAAAAAUAAAUGAGAGUUCAGGAAGGUUCAUUGAGUUAUAUACCCACAGUUUGAGUGUUGAAUUAGUCAUGAAUCAUGAUUGCCCCGCUUUCGAAANUAUUACUAUUACUAUUUUUAAGUAAUAAAUAAACAAGAAAAUAGAAGAAAAGUAAUUAAAAAUAUAGUUAAAGCUAUAUUUGGCAUACAUAACGGUAAAGAAUUGUUAUGUAUUAUGACAAAGAUAACGAUAAAACCGUUGUGUAAAGUAUAAAAAACUGUUAACUAUGAUGGAAAAAAAUAAAUAUAUUUCUAAUACAUAACGGUAAAAUCAUUAAUACAUAACGGGAGAAACCGUUAUGUAUAAUUGUUAAAGAUAAAAGAUAUAUACCGUUACGUAUGAGCGCAUAUACCGUUAUCUAUACGACUAUACAUAACGGUUUUUUUACCGUUAUGUAUGACCGUAUCAUAGAUAUCACCACUAUACUUAUCGGUUUUGUGGGGUCAAAAUCCGUUAUCUAUGAGCGUUUUUGUAGUAGUGAAUGGUGAUGCUAAUUUUUGUAUGGUACUAAUAUUUUGUACGUUGUGACAUCUUGAGUUUAUUAGAUUUGAGAAAUUGGUGAUCUAGACUGUUGUUUUCAUGAGUUAUUUUAUGUUAAUUUUAGUUCAUUCUUUUUACGUAAUUUUAUUUAUAUGCGUGAUUAAUGUCGUAAGAAAUAAAAAGAAAUAAAUUUUUGAAGUUUAUAAAAUUUUAAAAGGGCUGGUCUCCUGUGCGACGGUCGCACAGGAGUGCGACGGUCGCACAGGAGUGCGACGGGUUGACCCGGCCCAAACCCGCCCUCCUGACCCGGAACCCGCCCAAACCCGGAACCCGCCCAAACUCCUAAUUAUUACAUUUGUGUAUAACAAUUGUUACUUUUAAUAAACAUGAUAUAUACAUUUGUUCGCACAAAUGUAUAUUUAUAUAAAUAUAGGUAUUUUCCUUCAUUUAAUAUACAGUAUUAUAUUUUCUAAACCCUAAAUUCUAUAAACUAAACCCUAAACCCUGUAAACUAAACCCUAAGCGUGAACACUAAACCCUAAUAGGUGAAAACUAAACCCUAAUAGGUGAAAACUAAACCCUAAGCAUAAGAUAUACAUUUGGUCGCACAAAUGUAUACUUAUAUUAAUAUAAAUAUUUACCUUCAUUCAAUAUAAAACAUUAUACAUAUCAAUAUACAUUUAUAUGAACAAAUGUAUAUAUUAUGUUUAUGAAAAGUAACAAUUGUUAUGCACAAAUGUAAUAAUUAGGAGUUUGGGCGGGUUCCGGGUUUGGGCGGGUUCCGGGUCAGGAGGGCGGGUUUGGGCCGGGUCAACCCGUCGCACUCCUGUGCGACCGUCGCACAGGAGAAUUUGCGAUUUUAAAAAUGAUCAAGAAAAAUGAUAUAAUCAAGAAAAAUAGCGAAUGGGUCGAAGAUGAGCCAAGCAUGUCGAGCAAUAAUAUUAUACUAGAAAUAAAUUACAGUUCAAUGUGAGGAUUCAAUGAAUACCUCAUGACAGGUGUUAGAGUACGUGAUACAAAAAAAACAUCAUUAAUUUGCAGACUGUCCCAGAAUAUUGUAUGUACCACGUGUACCACUCUUCAUUUCUUUGUCAUUAUUAUAAACUCUAAUUAGUAUUUAUCAUUGAAAAAUUAAAAUUUAAAAAAUUAUAUACCCUAACUUUGAAUUAAUGAACCCAAAUAAUCUAUUAUUAAUUUAAACAAAUAUAAAAAAUAAUUAUAAACCCUAAAUAGAUGAGUAAACCCUUCUUAAUUAUCUUUAUAUUAUAUAAAAGCAUAAUAAAUUAAACGUGAAUAAAAAAUAAUUUAAAAAUAUAAAGAAAUAAGAGUGGUACACACUAUAUUUUAGACGAGAUCCAUUUGAUUAACUUGGAUCGACCUAGUUGAGUAUAUUGGGUACGAUUCAAUGAUAUUAGUGUAUUAAUUAACUUUUAUGUGUAUUUUCUUUAUUUUUAAAUUAGCAUGUUAGUUAAAUAUGAGGCGUGGUAUAAGGGCAGGUAAUUAAAAAAUAAAGAUAGUGCUCUGUGUCGUUCACGUGACACCGUUAUUGGAUAACACCAUAUAUUGCAUAGUGGAACACAUCUUAGUUGGUUAAACGAAAGAAGCAGCAGGUUCCUGGAGAUUGAAUGUCAACCAAAUCUCAUUGACUCUGUUCCUGAACUCAAACGGCGAAUUGUACUGCGCCACGAUGUAGUGAGUGGCGUUCUCCCCUCCAUGGCUCCUAUCAAUGGCGUCCGACCAAACAGUCCCGGCGACGGCGGCGUACAACGCAGCAGCUUCCUCUCCGACUUGGUCGUCCUUGACGAACCCACUGAACUGCCUGACGGCUACGUAGGUGAGCCCCCAUUUCUGGACCCAAAGGGUUUCACUGGAAGGCGCAGUGGCUUGGUUCUGUUUCGGAAUGAAGAAGCUCACCACGAAGGAUGAAGCACAGAAAGGUCCAUCGCUAGGUCUCACUUCGAUUAUCACCGGCGCCGUCAUUUCUAUCUUUUCAUGGUUGCUGUUCUUGCCUUGGAUGUAAUCAAAUAGCCUAUAUAUAUAUAUAUCAAGUACAUAAUAUGUAAAACUUGAAUCAAAUGCCUAAGCAUCAAAUUA
RNAcentral lists this long non-coding RNA (3304 nucleotides) under Salvia miltiorrhiza (redroot sage). RNAcentral describes it as "long non-coding RNA (SMIL_LNC000744)". Lineage: Eukaryota; Viridiplantae; Streptophyta; Magnoliopsida; Lamiales; Lamiaceae. The record is from RNAcentral.